RNA transcript from Camelina sativa (false flax), 1531 nucleotides. It is a transcript of the gene named F-box/kelch-repeat protein At2g24250 pseudogene, with no coding region annotated. NCBI's taxonomy places the organism in Eukaryota, Viridiplantae, Streptophyta, Magnoliopsida, Brassicales, Brassicaceae. The record is from RefSeq and is a predicted model, not a curated record.
UCGAUCUCAAAUCGUCUUCGACACUAGCAGUACCAAAUUUUCUGGGUUUGACAAAGAUAUUGGUUUUCAAACAAAAAUGGCUAAAACGGAAACAAUUAUAUAUAUUUUUAUGCUCAAUUUCUCUAAAGCUUAAGCACAAACCACUCACUAUUCCUUCGAGUUCUUCAUAAGACCUUUUCAGCUCCAACUUUGUUCUCCCAGUUACGCAAACAUGGCAGAACACGAAACGAAAAAGAAGAUAUCAUCAACAUCGUCGAUAAUGCCAGACUGGUCUCAUCUCCCUGAUGAGCUAUUGCCUCUUAUCUCGACGCAUUUAGAAGAGGAGAACUGUUUCGAUGUAAUUCAUGCUCGCUCUGUUUGCAGCUUGUGGCGAUCCUCAUUUCCCUUUCCUUCUUCCCUACUACGCCCAAGUUACUCUCUUCCCGAGUACUCGCGACACAGAGAUCCUAAAGGAAUGCUCACCCUCGUUCCUCUUUAGAGUCAAAACUCCUCCUGUUUCUGAUGAUGCGUCGUCUUCUGAGUAUUAUCUGGGAGGAAUAGGCCGACAUGAGUCAGAGGAGGAUCAUAUGGAGUGGAGCUUCCUCUUCAGUGCUCAGUGAAAGUCAAGAUUCCAGGAACUGUGCCAACCUUGAUGAACAUGAUCGACUGCCAGAUCAUCCCUCUGGGACAUGAGUACAGAAUGAUGGGUCGGCCUCUUAGUUGCGCGGCUUUUCUUCCGCUAGACAAGGAGCGAGGAGGAGGAGGAGCAUUCGUUGUGCUUGUCACAUACUGUCUCUGGUUGUUGGUGUUAACAAGUGCUGAAAUGAGGUGGAAGCGGCUUAGUAACAUCCCAGGUGCUUUAUCCGGGGAUGUAGUCGCUUUUAGAGGCAGGUUUUAUGCAUCUUGUUCUUCCUGUACUACUUUCGUCAUCUAUCCUUAUUCGCUCGAGGUGACUCUUCUGUCUCACGUACCCGUACCUCAGGAAAUACACUAUCUGGUUCCAUGUGGCGAUGAUGAACUUUUCCUAGUUGAGGGAACCUACCCAGGUGUUGGUGGAUUAGAUUUAGAUAUUAGUCAGUUAACAUUUAGAGUAAUGUAGGCUUGAUGAGGAGGCUGGUACAUGGGUUGAGGUCAAUAAUCUGGGAGACCGUGUCUUGUUUAUUGGUGGACGCUCGAGAAAUUUCUCUAUCUCAGCUAAGGAGCUUCCUCAUAGUUGUGGUUUAAGUGGGAACUCGAUUUUGUUCACCAAUCUGCGAGGCAAUGUAACUUUCGCCUUUAAAUAUGGAGUACAUACAGGAAACGCGGGAGACAAUCUCAAUUGUUGGAGAUCCUCAAGGGAGAAUCGUGUGAUGAUCCUCAACAAAUUUGCUCCGGUCGUGGCCUUCCAGGUUGAACGCUGGGCUGUAAAUUUUCGCUUUGGAUACCUGUCAUUUCGUUUUAAUUAGACGAAAGACUAUGUUUUCCUUUGAUUCUGUAGUAUCCGAUGUUAGCCAUUUGUACUGGAGACUAGAUAAAUGGUAGUAGUUGUUUAAUAUUUACUUUGUUUUAACUA